CUUCCUUCUUCUUUCUUUCUUCUUCUUCUUCUUCUUCAAAAAAAGAGAAAACUGCAUUUUCAAGUGGAAUUUGGAGGUUUAGAAUCCAUUUUUUAUCUUAAUCUUCAUCUACAAAGGCUUUAGAGGUUUAUUUGCUAAACCAAUUUGGAAUGAGGGUGACACCCAAGUAAGCUCAAGCAAAGGAAAGGGAGCAACAAAGGAUUAGCAGAAUUAUAAUUGGUUUUGACGAAACAUUUACAUCUGUCGCACUAGCAUUGUGUCAGGAUGAGUAGAGAGGGGCUGACCGAGAAUCCUGCUAACCUAAGUGAGUCUGAGUCUGUGCAUGGAGUUGAGCAUAUAAAUGCACCACAACAACCAACUCAGGAAUUGCCACUGGUAAUGCAGCAAUUUCUUGAGUCUUUGCAGCAAAUAGUUAAUCGGGUAGCCACUCAGCCAAUCCAACAACCAAUAAUGCAACCGAUGGCAGAAGUUAAAGAAACAGAGGCUAAAGAUAAAACUUACGAUAGGCUGAGAAAACAAGGAGCUACAGAGUUUGAGGGGAUCACUGAUCCUGAGAUAGCAGAAGAAUGGUUACGGGAGACAGAAAGGGUGCUGGACAGGCAAGAUUGCACACCAGAGCAAAGUUGAAAUAUGUUGUAUCUUUGUUGAGAAGAUAAGCUUUAGAUUGGUGGGAUAUGCUUCCAGGAAGUAAAAAUAGACCUAUGACCUUUACUUGGGAUGACUUCCUUAGGGAAUUUACAAAUAAAUACACACCACCAACGUAUAGAGAUCGAAAGAAAAUGGAGUUUUUGAGCUUAGAACAGGGAUACAUGACAGUAUCAGAAUAUGAAAUGCAAUUCUCUUGAUUAUCAAAAUAUGCGUUAGAAAAAGUGGCUACAGAGGAUGCAAAACAAAGACGGUUUGAAAAAGGAUUGAGAAUGGAUAUUCGGGAAAAGAUUUCCUUAAAGCCACCAAGUUACAGUACUUUAUUAGAGGCUGCAUUGAGAGUAGAAGAAUGUUUGAUUGAGAAAGAUGCAAUGACAGCUAAGAAAAGAAAGAUGAUAAAUGAAUAUGGUGGUUCAUAAAGGAAAAGAAGAGACAUUUCUUUUAGAGGUUGUGGGUCUCAAGGGAGUAGAUAUUAUGGAAGAGGGGUUAGCUAGCAAAAUAUGAGUAAGUCUACUACAGUAAUAUCGGGUAGAGGCGGACGAAGUGGUUACAACCAGAGUAGGGUAGAGAGUAAGAGAGGUGAGGGAGGUGUUUCAGUUAGUCGAGGAUAUAUUUCACCAUGUGCUAGAUGUAAUAGGUUUCACCGUGGGGAGUGUUGGGGACCAAGGCAGAUACUUUGUUUUUAUUGUGGUAAGCCGAGGCAUAUAGCCAAAGAUUGUUGGAGUAAAAAUCGAGCUAGUGAAAGUCAAGUUUCAGGACAGAGCAGCAUAGGUGAAAAUAUGACUCAGGGAGGAGUAAGUAGAGGAAGAGGUAAAGGAAUGGCACGAGGAGGUUCUAACCUGGUACAGGCUGGACAGAUAGGUCAACCUUAGCAAUCACUGCCCUAAGCUAGAGUGUAUGCAGUGACAAGACAAGAAGCACCUUCUACAACUGAUAUUGUGACUGGUAAAAUCUCUAUUUAUGGUUUUGAUGCUUAUACGUUAAUUGAUCCAGUAUCAACAUGUU
Ricinus communis (castor bean) is the source of this 1650-nucleotide long non-coding RNA. RefSeq lists it as uncharacterized. The record is from RefSeq and is a predicted model, not a curated record. The transcript is spliced from 4 exons. Lineage: Eukaryota; Viridiplantae; Streptophyta; Magnoliopsida; Malpighiales; Euphorbiaceae.